ACACACAAACACACACACUAACACAAACACACACAUACAUACACUAACACACACAUACACUAACACACAAACACAUACACUAACACACACAAACACACACAAACACACACAAACACUAACACACAAACACACACACACACACACACAUCCACUAACACUAACACACAAACACAUACAAACACACAUUUUUUAAAAAAAAAUGUAAUCCCCCCAGCCUCCUUACCUUUUG
Pelobates cultripes (western spadefoot toad) is the source of this 229-nucleotide non-coding RNA. The record is from the annotation of a GenBank genome assembly. Lineage: Eukaryota; Metazoa; Chordata; Amphibia; Anura; Pelobatidae.